ACUCGGGUGGGUUUCAGAGUAACCGGCAGCGCCCGCGCCCUGCCCCCCCCCCCCCGGGCCCCCCAGGAUCUGACGGGAGGGGGAGGGGGGCCCUCUCCCACACGGGGGCCACUCCUAGCCCCCGAAACUCGCUCCCCACGCGCUUGUGCCCAAGGAAGCAGGCAGAGGAAGCCCAGAAAGGGGCGCUUCCUGGAGUGAGUGGGGGCGCCCUGCCCCCUCCUGGGCCCCCCCCCGGCCCCCCAGGAUCUGACGGGAGGGGGAGGGGCUCUUGGAGAGGAGGGCACGGACCCCUGGGCCCUCUCCCACACGGGGGCCACUCCUAGCCCCCGAAACUCGCUCAUUGCCACGAUUGAAACUGUCUUUUGACUCUUCAUUUUUGACAUCCUCAAACUGCCUGGACAUCUCUUCUGUAACCCAAAGUCUUCGUUUCCCUGAAAAAACACCAGUGGACACAAAGGGAGGGCGAUUGAGCUGAUUGUCGCAGUUGGGGUUCAGAAUUGUUCUCUAAAGGGGCUCCCCAGAGGGGCUGCUCCCCGAGCUGCUUCGGGGUUGUAGGGGAGCCGGAAGUUGUGCUAAGUUGUGCUCCUCCAGGUGCAGAAGCUGAGGGAGUGGAAGAAAGGAGCUUUCUGCUCCCCUCCCCAGGAGGAGGGGCAGCCUCAGGCUUACAGCGUUCACGUUCCCAGCCAGCAAGCAGCCCAGAGACAGCCUGGGCAGUGAGAGGCAGUGACAGUGACAAGCUGCCUCCCUCCAGAACACAUGCAUACACAUGAGUGCGUCACAGAACUGUGGAGACAAAGCAGCUGUUGUCAAAAGAUGAAGCCUCUCUAUGGGACUGGUCCAGUUUGGAGCAAGCCAAGUGGAGACAAGAGAGUCUUGAGAGAAAGACACCAGCAAGAGAGAAAUAGUUCGGAGUUCCUGAAAUAUAACUGAGAACCCCAUCACAAGGUAAGACCGAGCACUUGCUGGUUUUUACUGGCUAUGGACUCAACUCCUGUCCAUCUCUCCGAGGUGAAAGCCACUGUGCCAGUUAUUCUGGUGACUGGAGUUCCUUGUUGAUUAGGACCUGUAUGUAACCUGUUACACAGGAAGUCUUUCCAUCACUCUUAUCUUUAGCAAUUUGAAGGCAGUGGUAUCCCAGACCUUUCAUC
Molecule: long non-coding RNA, 1148 nt
Filed under: Sarcophilus harrisii (Tasmanian devil)
Lineage: Eukaryota; Metazoa; Chordata; Mammalia; Dasyuromorphia; Dasyuridae
Description: lncRNA (ENSSHAG00000028051.1)
Source: RNAcentral